UUCAACGUUAGUAAAAGUAAUUUUUCAUCAAGUUGGAUUCAAACUUAAACUUUCUUCAACAAAAACAGGUUUUUAAGUCUAUCAACGGAGAGGGUUCAUACUUCCUAUUGUGGAGAGCGGAGCAGAGACGUGGCGGUGAAGAAGGUCUUUCUCUCCAAACUCAACCCCCGCCUCAAAGCUUGUUUGCAUUGCGAGAUGAACUUCUUGUCCUCUGUUAACCACCGCAAUAUUAUUCGUCUUCUUCACUUCUUCCAGGGAACCUAACUUUUUAUAUUUGAAGCCAUGGAAGAGUUCAAUAACAUACUGCUAGAAAAUUCAUGCACCAGCCUGGCUCUGGUCUCCGAGUAUUACACUUUCACGACAAACAAAGACUUGAAAUCGGAGGUAGGAAUAUGAUGUUUCUUUUCCGGACUCAGAAGUUUGUUGUUGAAGUUGCAGUAGACGCACUUCAGCAUGUUCAUUUUACCUGUGUUUUUGUUGAAUCUUUAGCAUCUAGCUUUUAUUUUAUUUUUAACCUUGAAUUACUGCAUCGGAGCUAACUAUUUAUGUGUUCGUUAAUUUGAGAAAUAUUGUUCUGUUAAACUUGAUUUGUGGUUUCCUAAAAUUUAUUGAACUAUUUGUGAAAGUUUGUUUAUGCAUGUGAGAUGAGUUGAGGAGUGUCUGAUAAACACUUGUUCCCUUGUGCUUCAUUUAGAUGGUAGAAAAUGAAAAAAAAAAAUUAAAAAAUAAAAAAAGAAGAGAAUUAGAGUAGAAAGUGAGGUUAUUUGGAUGAGUUGAAAAAGAGUGGAAAUAAGAGUAAAGAAGAAUAAUCUUAUUUAUUAAUAUUCACAAUUAAUUUUUAUAAUAAUUUCAUUCACAAUGGAUUGUGUUGGCCUAUAAUCGAUUAUGUAUACAAAUUACAUUCCAAAAGACCCAUCUUGUUAAAAACAUAAUGUGUUUAUGAUGUACUAAAAUAAGCUAGGCACGGGUUGGAACUUGGAAGAUAAGCUAGGCUGGCUUUCCUCUCAAAUGUCAUGUCUUGUUGUAGGAAAGCUUGACCGGUGGGCUCCAUAACUGAAUACUCUCAUUUCUACUCAAAUACCUUGAAACAGUGUUAAUGGGUCACAAGUACUUAAAAAUUUAUAAUGUUAAGAGAAUAUGUUACACUAAAAUGGGUUGAAACGACUGGAGUCUAAUUUUCUUGAGCGAGAUAGAUUCGUGAGCAUCAAGUCAUGACACCUUUACUUAUUCAUCGAACAACAUUAACAUGACAUCUUAGGUCAAAUACCACGUAUUUAGAUGUACCUCCUACAAAAGUGAUCAAAUAUCACAAUCACUAAAACACAUAUUUUUUAAUUUGAUAAAAUCAUAGAUGUGAAUCUUGUCAAACAAAUUUGACUGAUAUGAUAAAUGGCAUUUUUUUUUUUUGCCAGUUAUAU
Vigna radiata var. radiata (mung bean) is the source of this 1418-nucleotide long non-coding RNA. RefSeq lists it as uncharacterized. NCBI's taxonomy places the organism in Eukaryota, Viridiplantae, Streptophyta, Magnoliopsida, Fabales, Fabaceae. The record is from RefSeq and is a predicted model, not a curated record. The transcript is spliced from 3 exons.